GGUAUCGCCGUUAGUCAUGUGCAAAUAUGGAUAGCUGUUUUAGCCGUCUUUAUUGACUGGUUUAUAAGAGUUAUCAGAUAUCACUUUGAUUAAAUUAGAGUGCUUAAAGCAAGUGUGUUACUUGGAUAUAAAUGCAUGGAAUGAUGGAAUAUGUUGUUAUUCUAUUUGUUGGUUUUUGAAUGAUAAAAUGAUUGAAAGGAACUGUUGGGGGCAUUCGUAUUGUUGUGAGAGAGGUGAAAUUCUUAGACCACAGCAAGACGAACUACUGCGAAAGCAUUUGCCAAGAAUGUUUUCAUUGAUCAAGAACGAAAGUUAGAGGUUCGAAGGCGAUCAGAUACCGCCCUAGUUCUAACCAUAAACUAUGCCAACUAGCAAUUUGCUUUGUAUUUUUUAUGACUAAGUGAGAGGCCACGGGAAACCUAAGUAGGGUUAUGGGGGAAGUAUGGUUGCAAAGCUGAAACUUAAAGGAAUUGACGGAAGGGCACCACCAGGAGUGGAGCCUGCGGCUUAAUUUGACUCAACACGGGAAAACUUACCUGGUCCUGACACUAGAAGGAUUGACAGAUUGAUAGCUCUUUCUUGAUUUGGUGGAUGGUGGUGCAUGGCCGUUCUUAGUUGGUGGAGUGAUUUGUCUGGUUAAUUCCGAUAACGAACGAGACUCUACCCUAUUAAAUAAUACACGGAAUUUUAUCUUCCGCGGUAUUUCUUAGUGGGAUCAAGCG
RNAcentral lists this ribosomal RNA (722 nucleotides) under uncultured eukaryote. Its description in RNAcentral is "bacterial SSU rRNA". It matches the Rfam family "Eukaryotic small subunit ribosomal RNA", at positions 672 to 1426 of the family's 1831-position model. The record is from RNAcentral.